UUCAUACUCCCUCCGUCCCAUAUUAAGUGACGAAAUAUUACAUAUAUCUAGAUGCUUUUCGGGCAUACGUACAUCCAUAUUUGGGCAAAUUUGAGUCACUUAAUAUGGGACGGAGGGAGUACUUU
Non-coding RNA from Brachypodium distachyon (stiff brome), 125 nucleotides. NCBI's taxonomy places the organism in Eukaryota, Viridiplantae, Streptophyta, Magnoliopsida, Poales, Poaceae. The record is from Rfam.